Molecule: ribosomal RNA, 253 nt
Filed under: uncultured bacterium
Lineage: Bacteria
Description: partial 16S ribosomal RNA
Rfam family: Bacterial small subunit ribosomal RNA
Source: RNAcentral
UACAGAGGGUGCGAGCGUUAAUCGGAAUUACUGGGCGUAAAGCGUGCGUAGACGGUUAUUUAAGUCGGGUGUGAAAGCCCCGGGCUCAACCUGGGAAUUGCAUUCGAGACUGAAUAGCUAGGGUACGGUAGAGGGAAGUGGAAUUUCCGGUGUAGCGGUGAAAUGCGUAGAUAUCGGAAGGAACAUCAGUGGCGAAAGCGGCGUUCUGGACUGCAACUGACACUGAUAAACGAAAGCCAGGGUAGCAAACGGG